AGAGUUUGAUCCUGGCUCAGAUUGAACGCUGGCGGCAUGCCUAACACAUGCAAGUCGAACGGCAGCAUGACCUAGCUUGCUAGGUUGAUGGCGAGUGGCGCACGGGUGAGUAAUGCGUAGGAAUAUACCUUGAAGUGGGGGAUAACUUGGGGAAACCCAAGCUAAUACCGCAUGAGCUCUAAGGAGGAAAGCUGGGGACCUGAAAGGGCCUGGCGCUUUAAGAUUAGCCUACGUCCGAUUAGCUAGUUGGUAGGGUAAAGGCCUACCAAGGCUACGAUCGGUAGCUGGUCUGAGAGGAUGGUCAGCCACACUGGGACUGAGACACGGCCCAGACUCCUACGGGAGGCAGCAGUGGGGAAUAUUGGACAAUGGGGGCAACCCUGAUCCAGCAAUGCCGCGUGUGUGAAGAAGGCCUGCGGGUUGUAAAGCACUUUCGGUGGGGAGGAGGACUAUUAGGUUAAGAGCUAGAUAGUUGGACGUUACCCAAAGAAGAAGCACCGGCUAACUCCGUGCCAGCAGCCGCGGUAAUACGGAGGGUGCGAGCGUUAAUCGGAAUUACUGGGCGUAAAGAGUGCGUAGGCGGUUUAAUAAGUUAAGUGUGAAAUCCCCGGGCUUAACCUGGGUUGGUCAUUUAAGACUGUUAGACUAGAGUAUGGGAGAGGGUAGUGGAAUUUCCGGUGUAGCGGUGAAAUGCGUAGAGAUCGGAAGGAACACCAGUGGCGAAGGCGGCUACCUGGCCUAAUACUGACGCUGAGGCACGAAAGCAUGGGGAGCAAACAGGAUUAGAUACCCUGGUAGUCCAUGCUGUAAACGAUGUCAACUAGUUGUUGGGCGUAUAAAUACGUUUAGUAGCGAAGCAACGCGAUAAGUUGACCGCCUGGGGAGUACGGUCGCAGAUUAAACUCAAGGAUUGACGGGGCCC
This 922-nucleotide ribosomal RNA is filed under the name uncultured bacterium. Its description in RNAcentral is "bacterial SSU rRNA". It matches the Rfam family "Bacterial small subunit ribosomal RNA", at positions 8 to 921 of the family's 1533-position model. The record is from RNAcentral.